UGCGGUGAACAAGAUUCUCCGUUGGGGAAGCAGCGGAGGGAUCAUUACCCCAGCGAAAAAACUCCCAAACCAUUGUGAACCUACCACUGUUGCUUCGGCGGCCUCGCCCCGGGCGCGUUCGCGCGGCCCGGACCCAGGCGUCCGCCGGAGGCUCCAAACUCUUGUCUUUUAGUGUAUUUCUGAGUGGCAUAAGCAAAUAAAUCAAAACUUUCAGCAACGGAUCUCUUGGUUCUGGCAUCGAUGAAGAACGCAGCAAAAUGCGAUAAGUAAUGUGAAUUGCAGAAUUCAGUGAAUCAUCGAAUCUUUGAACGCACAUUGCGCCCGCCAGUAUUCUGGCGGGCAUGCCUGUCUGAGCGUCAUUUCAACCCUCAGGACCCGUUCGCGGGACCUGGCGUUGGGGAUCAGCCUGCCCCUGGCGGCGGCUGGCCCUGAAAUCCAGUGGCGGUUCCCUCGCGAACUCCUCCGUGCAGUAAUUAAACCUCUCGCGGCAGGAUAGCGGUUGAACCACGCCGUUAAACCCCCCACUUCUCAAGGUUGACCUCAGAUCAGGUAGGAAUACCCGCUGAACUUAAGCAUAUCAAUAA
This is a ribosomal RNA of 584 nucleotides. The stretch from base 206 to 359 matches the Rfam family "5.8S ribosomal RNA".